CAGCAGGCGCGAAACCUUUUCAAUGCACGCAAGUGUGAGAAGGGAAUUCCAAGUGCUCAAGUUUUACUUGGGCUUUUGCCAAGUGUAAAAAGCUUGGCGAAUAAGGGGUGGGUAAGACUGGUGCCAGCCGCCGCGGUAACACCAGCGCCUCGAGUGGGGAUCGCGAUUAUUGGGUCUAAAGCGUCCGUAGCAGGCUUUGUGAAUGCUUUGUGAAAUCGGCAGGCAUAACCUGUCGGCGUGCAGAGUACACUGCAGAGCUUGAGACCGGGAGAUGUCAGAAGUAUUCCUAGGGUACCGGUAAAAUGGGUUAAUCCUGGGAGGACUACCGAUGGCGAAGGCAUCUGACAAGAACGGUUCUGACUGUGAGGGACGAAAGCUAGGGGAGCAAAACGGAUUAGAUACCCGAGUAGUCCUAGCCGUAAACGCUGCGAGCAAGGUAUUGCGCCUCCCACGAGGAUGCGCAGUGUCGAAAUGAAGAUGUUAAGCUCGCCACCAGGGAAGUACGGUCGCAAGGCUGAAACUUUAAGGAAUUGGCGGGGGAGCACAAGGGCGAAUUCGCG
RNAcentral lists this ribosomal RNA (560 nucleotides) under uncultured archaeon. RNAcentral's name for it is "bacterial SSU rRNA". It matches the Rfam family "Archaeal small subunit ribosomal RNA", at positions 333 to 899 of the family's 1478-position model. The record is from RNAcentral.